AGCGGUCAAAAUUUUAUGCUGUGCGAGCAAGGAGAGGCUCCGCAUACGUCAAAACGAGUGUGUAUAAAUUUUCAUCCCACAAAACGCAACAUUUUUACAUUCUGCAAGCAUAUUAUUUUUAAUUUGCAAUGUGCAAACUUUUGUGUCUUUAUCCGGUCUAUUCCGUACGCGUGUGUUCUUUUCAAGCGCAGGGUUAAAUUUACAAUCGAGUAAAAGGUGUGUAAUUGAGCCCAAAUUGCCCAGUACCCGUUGAAAGUGAGAGUUCGAUUUCAAGAAUUCGGAUGACGAUUGAAUCGUGUACUUUUGACUGCUUUUGCUAAAAAGUAGGCUUCCCUGCCGCAGAGCAGAAAGCAAGAAGAACGAACAUGUCGGAAAUGAAACGUGUGACACUGACAACGAUUGGUGAUGUGGUGAAGAAGAGUCCUUUUGGCGGCAGCGGGUUCGACCAAAACACGGACGAUUUCUUUUCCGGUGCCUUGGCAGGAGGCGUCGGGGCUGGCCCUAGUUCGAAAAACGGUAGUGGAACUAAGCCACGGAAAACGAUCCGCCUUGAGCUGGAACUGUUCGAACCAACGGCAAAGAGUUUCCCCGAGUUCAACUAUUCGAACCUCGCGCGUGAAGAGCAGAAACGGCAGCGCAAGCUUGAGAAAAAGGCCACAACGAACGGAUUUCUGUCGGAACAGGACGAUAACGACGAUGUAGCGCGAAUCGCCCGGGAGUUGGAGAAAAAAUACGGAUCCGGUACGGCGUACAGCAGUUCCGGCAAAUUUGCCCGUCCCUCGAAGUUGGAUUACUGCGAUCGGGGAGCAGGUUACGACGAAGAGGAUUCUUUCAUCGACAACACCGAAGCGUACGAUGAACUGAUCCCGCAGGAGGUAGAAACGGUGGGCGGAGGUUUCUACAUAAACUCAGGACAACUAGAAUUCAAAACGCUGUCGAACUUCGAACGGCCGGAAGAUGCGAUACGAAUGCCGAAACCGAAAAAGCGACUUCUAUCGUCAUCCAGUGACAGUAGCGGCCCAGAGGUCAAAGUGGCUCCGAAAACGAAAAAGAAGGACGAACGGGGGAGCGGGACGAGUGGAGCCGAGAGUGCAAGCAAAAGUGGUAAAGUAGGUCGCAAACGGUUGAACGGCCAUGUCACGAAAAAAGCAAAGGUUGCUGGUGAAAAGCCGAACCGAAAAGUGGCUACGCACAAGGAAGGUAAGAAAAAGAAGGACACGAAAGAAUCUACUACCGUGGGGCCAGGAGCGGGAACAGAUUUGAAAGUAGUUAAAACAACGACAGUGAAGGAUAUGCUGCGGGCGAAGAGGGACAGCUUGCGGAAAAUGGAACAGGAGAAGAAAGGUAAAAGUAGCGGGUCGGUUUCAAGUUCCGAAGCGGAAGAAGUUGGCGAAGGCGACGAUGGAGAGGAUGAUGGCGAUGAUACGGACCAAAGUAGUGAUGCGAGUGAUAGCGAUUCCAGCGGUAGUGGAUCGGAUGAUUCUGAUAGCGACACUACAUCCGAAACUGACCAGGGAGCGAAACUGAUUAGCGAGGAAGAAGCCAAAAAACGGGAUGAAAUUAAGCUUCCGGAUAACCUGCCGGAUCAUCUGUUGCAAGAUUUGAACAGUUUGAAGGAUAUUGCAAAAAACACAAAGGGCAGGUUGAAUUUCUUUGACGCCACGGUUGCUGAUCUACUGCUGCAAAUCGAUGUUAGCUCUCGGAUGUGCGGAGGAAGCGCUCGAAAUUCUGUAUAUAAACAUCUCGAAAGCCAUCUACGCGUCAGCAGGCAGACGCUUAUGGUUAAGAUAAAAAAGAUUCGCAUACGAAAGGAAGAUAAUAAAGUCAAAAAAGCUAUCGGAAUCCUGGAAGAUGCCGUAACGGAAAUGAUGCCCAAGUUAAUAGCAAACUAUGAAGCAGAAAAACAAAAAGCACAUGACCUUCGUACCGCACAUUCGGCAUCUAGCGAUACUGGAGAAAAGCCUGAGAUCAAACAUCCAAAGAAAAAGUUUCCAUGGAAUGAUCAUCUUCGAAGUUUGUUAAACGAUGUAGUCACCAUAAGAAAGAAAUCCUUCCAUAUUCUGCGACCAAGGAAAGAAACGGAAGAGGGAUAUGUUCAAAGCUACCUGGCAAAACAAGUGGUUUCACUCUGGCCCAGCGGAUGGAUAAGGUAUGAGGAUCUUCAAAAAGAACUCGAUCGACGAAAAAAGACCGAGAUAAAAGCAACCAGCAAGGAAGUCAAGAAGACUGUUAGUCUGCCUACUUCAACGACACCGGUUCCUACGCAAACAGUCAUUGUCAAUGGCCCCAGUAGCAAACCGGAAACAGUAUUAUCAUUCACUGCCAAACCUAGCAAAUCCGAGGAGAAAAAGAUUGUACGGCCUCCACUGUGUUCGCCCGUGGCAAGUACCAGUAUGUCUCAACCGUCACCUAGUACUUCUCCUGCUGGUCUGAAGAGAACUUCCGAUCAUAGUAUAAUAAACAUCAUUAGCUCGCCACCAAGCAAAAGUUCCUCGCAUUCCAGUCAUUUGUUGCCACAUCAGCAGCAGCAACAGCAACAACCGCCACGACCUCAAUCACAGCCACCUCGACCAACUUCCAAUUUCGACGAGGAUCUUAUACAGACUCAUGUGAUCAACCUUGAAACAGGUCACAAUGCAGUAAAAAACUCACCACAUACCUCCACGGCAGCCAUGGAUUUCGUUCCGAAGGAUCUCAGGGUAAAUUCGCCGGCCCUGUCCUCAGCCUCUUCCGCCUCUUCUUCCCGCCGACAAUCAUCCUACCAAGAUCCACCAAACGCACACACAACCCCGGUCCUCGCGCCUACUAGCUCGAAUCGCAAAAGUCGAGAUGAGGACAGCGAUAGUAGCAUCGAAAUCAUUGGAGAAUAUAACGUAGCAGAUAAGUACACUCCCUCCAUGGAGAAGAAAGUUGAUCCUCUGAACUUAGCGAUGCCUGCUCUCAAUAAGGACAAGUAUAAGAAAAGUGGUAACUCGAGUAAAACUAACAGUCGGCAAGGGAGCGGUAGUGGAAGUUCGCCCGGAAUGGGAACAUCCACAAUGAAUAUCAACAACAACCUGGAUAAGAAAAAAUACGGUGCACCUACUGCUACCACCACCGUAGGAGGAUUCGUUCUACCAUCCAUGGCUGGAUUGAUGCAGGAUUUAAAGUCCAGUACCAGUAUCCCACCUAAAAUGGUGUCCAUACCAGGCGACUUGGAUGUUAUUCGGAUUAUGAAAGAACUGCAAGAAUUACAGGCCAUUCAAAUGAAUUCCAUGAACAAAACCGCUGGGAGAACCGAAAGCCCCAAACCGGCGCACUCUUUCUCCACUUCGACAACAAAGAAGCCAGAGACGUCCAACCAUCAAAAUCAGUCCAGACCGACUGCAUCACAGCACCCACAGCAAUCUCAUCACAGUUCCUCGACCAGCGCACUCAAUCCAAACGUCUUUGAUGAGGAUUUCCUGUUGGCAAAUUACUUUUACGACAGUGCCAAAAAAGGAACCAAUCCAUAGUCAGAUCAGUGAAAGCUGUGAAAGAUACAAAAAAAACCAGAGCUACAAGACUGCGCGUGCAUGCGAGACGGUCAGCCCACUACCUUUAUUUUGCCAUAUCUACCUAUUGACCAGUGAUGGUUGCUGUUGUACAUGUGAUGUUUUUUCUUUUCAUUUUUGGUUCGCAAUAAGAAGUGCCAGAUGUAAAUAUGAACGGAUCCAGCGGAGCCCAUGCAAAAGUGUUAAAUCCAGCAUCAGCAGCUCUGAAGAAAGCGGCCCAGCAAUAAUGAAAAGGACAGAUCGCAUAAAAACAUACACAUCUAAGAUGUUUGUUCAUAUUACAUUGUUUGUGUGCGAAAGAAACAUAGUUCUAAAAUGAAGUCGAUAGUUGUACAUUGCUUAGUAAGUGAAAGUAGUAGAUAUAACUAAAUUAACCAAAUUAGGUAUUAGACGGUGUAACACGGUGAGCUAGGUCUGUUGGAGUGUGUUGAACACUAGACGGAAUGAUAUUUGUGUUUGGGGCAGCAAAAUUAUCGUUUGUUUUUUUGGUUCACAUGGAGCCUUUGUUUAUAUGUUAUAAUUAUGUUUUCUUUAAUUUAAUCGUUUCAUUUUACUUCUCUUUGUUGGAUAAUUUUCGGCAUAAUGUCGGUCGCAGGUAAUUUUCAAUCCGAUCAACCCAAAUUUUUUCAGAAUUGAAUGUAUAUCAGCUGUAUCGUUUAAGUUGUAGAUACUUAAGAAAGAGA
RNA transcript from Topomyia yanbarensis, 4216 nucleotides. It is a transcript of the gene named yemanuclein, with no coding region annotated. The record is from RefSeq and is a predicted model, not a curated record. The transcript has 5 exons. NCBI's taxonomy places the organism in Eukaryota, Metazoa, Arthropoda, Insecta, Diptera, Culicidae.